This 253-nucleotide ribosomal RNA is filed under the name uncultured bacterium. Its description in RNAcentral is "partial 16S ribosomal RNA". It matches the Rfam family "Bacterial small subunit ribosomal RNA", at positions 524 to 776 of the family's 1533-position model. The record is from RNAcentral.
UACAGAGGGUGCAAGCGUUAAUCGGAAUUACUGGGCGUAAAGCGUGCGUAGACGGUAGCGUAAGUCGGGUGUGAAAGCCCCGGGCUCAACCUGGGAAUUGCAUUCGAGACUGCUCUGCUAGGGUGCGGAAGAGGGAAGCGGAAUUUCCGGUGUAGCGGUGAAAUGCGUAGAUAUCGGAAGGAACACCAGUGGCGAAAGCAGCUUCCUGGUCCAGCACCGACGUUCAGGCACGAAAGCGUGGGGAGCAAACAGG